GAUGAACGCUGGCGGCGUGCCUAAUACAUGCAAGUCGAGCGAACAGACGAGGAGCUUGCUCCUCUGACGUUAGCGGCGGACGGGUGAGUAACACGUGGAUAACCUACCUAUAAGACUGGGAUAACUUCGGGAAACCGGAGCUAAUACCGGAUAAUAUAUUGAACCGCAUGGUUCAAUAGUGAAAGACGGUUUUGCUGUCACUUAUAGAUGGAUCCGCGCCGCAUUAGCUAGUUGGUAAGGUAACGGCUUACCAAGGCAACGAUGCGUAGCCGACCUGUGAGGUGGGUCGGCACCCUGGGAACGGAGCCGGGGACAAGCCUACUGAGGGAGGAACGAGAGGGGAUCGUGCGGAAAGGGCGGAAAGUUUGACGGAGCAGGGCGGGGGGAGUAAGAACGGUCUCGGGUUCUAAAAACUCUGUUAUGGGGGAAAAACAAAUGUGUAAGUAACAGUACAGUCCGUGACGGUACUUAAUAAGAAAGCCACGGCUAACUACGUG
RNAcentral lists this ribosomal RNA (497 nucleotides) under uncultured bacterium. RNAcentral's name for it is "partial 16S ribosomal RNA". It matches the Rfam family "Bacterial small subunit ribosomal RNA", at positions 28 to 507 of the family's 1533-position model. The record is from RNAcentral.